CCUGGCGGCACUAGCGCGGUGGUCCCACCUGACCCCAUGCCGAACUCAGAAGUGAAACGCCGCAGCGCCGAUGGUAGUGUGGGGUCUCCCCAUGUGAGAGUAGGGAACUGCCAGGC
RNAcentral lists this ribosomal RNA (116 nucleotides) under Klebsiella pneumoniae. Lineage: Bacteria; Pseudomonadati; Pseudomonadota; Gammaproteobacteria; Enterobacterales; Enterobacteriaceae. The record is from RNAcentral. RNAcentral also lists the same sequence under 1 other name.